UGGGGAAUCUUCCGCAAUGGACGAAAGUCUGACGGAGCAACGCCGCGUGAGUGAAGACGGCCUUCGGGUUGUAAAGCUCUGUGAUUCGGGACGAAAGGCCAUAUGUGAAUAAUAUAUGGAUAUGACGGUACCGAAAAAGCAAGCCACGGCUAACUACGUGCCAGCAGCCGCGGUAAUACGUAGGUGGCAAGCGUUGUCCGGAAUUAUUGGGCGUAAAGCGCGCGCAGGCGGUCACUUAAGUCCAUCUUAGAAGUGCGGGGCUUAACCCCGUGAGGGGAUGGAAAGUGGGAGACUGGAGUAUCGGAGAGGAAAGUGGAAUUCCUAGUGUAGCGGUGAAAUGCGUAGAUAUUAGGAAGAACACCGGUGGCGAAGGCGACUUUCUGGACGAAAACUGACGCUGAGGCGCGAAAGCGUGGGGAGCAAACAGG
Molecule: ribosomal RNA, 428 nt
Filed under: bacterium
Lineage: Bacteria
Description: partial 16S ribosomal RNA
Rfam family: Bacterial small subunit ribosomal RNA
Source: RNAcentral